AGAGUUUGAUCCUGGCUCAGGACGAACGCUGGCGGCGUGCUUAACACAUGCAAGUCGAGCGGAAAGGCCCUUCGGGGUACUCGAGCGGCGAACGGGUGAGUAACACGUGAGUAACCUGCCCCUGACUCUGGGAUAAGCCUGGGAAACUGGGUCUAAUACCGGAUAUGACACAUGGUCGCAUGGCCGGUGUGUGGAAAGUUUUUUCGGUUGGGGAUGGGCUCGCGGCCUAUCAGCUUGUUGGUGGGGUGAUGGCCUACCAAGGCGACGACGGGUAGCCGGCCUGAGAGGGCGACCGGUCACACUGGGACCGAGACACGGCCCAGACUCCUACGGGAGGCAGCAGUGGGGAAUAUUGCGCAAUGGGCGGAAGCCUGACGCAGCGACGCCGCGUAGGGGAUGACGGCCUUCGGGUUGUAAACCUCUUUCAGCAGGGACGAAGUUGACGUGUACCUGUAGAAGAAGCGCCGGCUAACUACGUGCCAGCAGCCGCGGUAAU
This 496-nucleotide ribosomal RNA is filed under the name uncultured soil bacterium. RNAcentral's name for it is "bacterial SSU rRNA". It matches the Rfam family "Bacterial small subunit ribosomal RNA", at positions 8 to 524 of the family's 1533-position model. The record is from RNAcentral.